UUGGAGGGAGGAAGGAGCCGGGUGCCUGGAGCUCCGGGUCCAAGGGAGAGCGCGGUCCGUAGCGGUGAGGGGCUGGACGUAGAGAAGCAGGGGGCUGGGGACAGAGACCCUGGGGCUGGUGGAGGAAGGGGCUGUGGUCCCUGACGGAGCCCAUCUUCCCUCACCUCCGUGAAACCGAGCGACAUUGCGCCGAAACGUUUCCUUUUCCCGAGUCAACAUCGCGGAGAACUCCUUCACGAAAGUGUCAUCUGGGAAGAAGCAGGGUGACAGGGAGUGCGACCCCUCCGCUCCCCACCCCAGGAGUGAGGUGCAGAAACUCCGGGCAGGAAGCAGGCAGCCGGCUAGCGCCGCCACCAGGAGGGCAACUUGGGGACCCAUUUCCCCAGGGCGCUCAGCCCCAGCAGAACCCCGGGGAGGGUCCGCCCACCCCACACGGAGGAGGAAGUGAUCGCUAAGGGGAAAGAACCCUUUCCCGGAGACAAGACCCCCAAUUUGUUGGGCUCCCACUUCUCGGUUAGGAAACCGAGGAGUCCGGAGUCCCGAUGCACCCUGAACAGCCGCUCUCCGACCUUGAGCUUGAAGGGUGUACCCUCGAAUACACGUAGGGUUCACUGAAUAGCGGAAUCCAGGCUGAGGGCAUUUAGAGGGACGAGCCGGCCACCUCCCUCCAGUCUAUUUUGCCAUGAAUCCUAUUAAGGAUGUUGUUGGAGCGAGGGUGAGGUUGGUCACGUGACGUGGAGAACUUUGUGACUGGAGUCAGGCUCGAGCAUCGCCUCAAUGUACAAUGGAAUCCCACAGCCGCCGCCUUCUACCUGCCUACACUGGGCCCCCGACUUCCCUAGAGACACUCCCAGGAAGCUCCAUUGGCCCCGCCCAGAAAUCCAACUCUGAGUCUGAUUGGACGGCAACAAAGGGAGGCUCCGCCUAUGGUUCCAGGAUGAUGCGGACCGCCCCCUCUCACGCUAGACCUUUUCAUGUUUUCCUUCCAGAUGAGGCCCUUGAGCGGUCGGGUUGGGGUAGAGGGGUGGCUCAGACUAAUGAGUGCGGGUGGAGGAGAAGGAUGGGAGCCUAACUCCUGGGUGCUCUCAUGGGAGAUGCCUGGGGACUGGCUCUUGGGUCUGAAGUAGGAGGCGUGAGGAUCCCCGGGUCCCCGAUUCUUACCCUGCGUCAAGUCCCAACAGCACCCCGGAGCACAACCGUGCUCCCUGGUGGGUUCCCAAACCCGCUGUUCAUGUUCAGCCUUUGCCUCUGCCCCCGCUCGCAGCAGUGGCUGGGGGACAGGAAAACCCCAGAGGAAAGCCGGCUGGAAGAGUGAGGAGGGGGCGUCCUGUCAAGAGAUGGGCCUGGGGGAGGAGAUCUGGGUAGGGCUGGCUCUUCCCCACUCCUCGGUGCUGGAAUUACAUCUGAGCCGGGUGGCCCUGCCAUGACGAAGGGACCCCGCUUCCGGGUCUCUCCUAGGACAGGAGACCAGCCCCAGAGCUCUCCUCUCAGGAAACCAAAACUGAGGAUCAGACCCGAGGAAAUGAAUCUGACAGUUCAGCAACCGGAUAAAUCUUUAUUUGUCACUUGGUCCUGAGUCCUUGUCCUUCGGUACUUUGAGAACGUGGCUCUGUGACAGCUGACUCUGUGGAGCCUGGUCCCGCGGAGCAGCUGCCAUUUCGGUGUGGUGUCUGGACUUUAUGGAAUCGAUCACCACCCCAGACCGAAAGCAGAGUAUGCUGGGGGAGGGUGGGGCACAAAACGUGGUAAAGGAUCAGGUCCCCAGUGAGGGACACCUUCCCCAGCCUCCUAAUAUCUGAUCGUUUUCUAGCAGUGGCCUAAGCUUUGCCCACCUGGGUAAGCCCCACCCAGUUUUCUAAGCCCCAUCCCCCACAGGACCUCUCCUGCAGUAGGAAGGUGGAGACCCCGCCCCUCUCUCCGCGUCCGGCCUCUUCAGUGGCUGGCUCACCCGGUGACAAAGCCCAGGAUCAGCAGCAAAAAGGACCAGAGCAGCAGCCCUACCAGAAGGCCUGUCUGCACGUUCUUCGGGUUUGAACACUCGGAGGGCCGGAGGGUUGGGGAAAGGUCACCCCAGAUUUCCUCAGCCUCGGUUCCAAUGGCUGGGGACUGUGUUCUAAUGGUUGGUGACUGGGUUUCAGUGGUUGAUGGCUGGGUUACAAAGGUUGAAGACUUGGACUUUAUCUCCCCAAAGAUUCUUUGAGGCAACACUGACAGAGGAGAGGGAAAGAGCCGACCUCAGCAGGCCCCAAGGGUCCGCCCUGGCCCAGGCAUGCUCUCUCCACACCAACCUCCCCCAAGACCCAGGCCUUCAAGGAGAUAAUUAUGACCUUCACUGCUGGAAGGCCGGUCAAUGAGAGCGGUGGCCACAGCUAGAACGGGGAGCCCCACCCCCGUGGCCUGAAUCCACACCCCGAAGGGAAGUUUUAACCCGAAGACCACGCCCCCACGCUGCCUGCCAUCCCCCAAACCCAGGACCCUGACUCCCACACCUCCGUGGACUCCCCAGCUCUGACCUGUGACUUCAAAAUGGAUGACCGUGGCUGGGCCGGAUCGCUCAAUGCCCAACUCGCAGCGGACAGGAGACCAGCCCAGACCUCUCCUCUGGGGAAACCAAAACCGAGGAUCAGACCUGAGGAAAUGAACUUGAUGUAGAGACAACCAGAUAAAUCUUUAUUUGCGCCUUGGCACUGUGGCCUUUUCCUUUGGAACUUUCCAAACCUUCGGAACCUGGGUUUCUGAAAGCCAACUGUGUGAGCGCUGGUCAUGUGACAGCUGGCUCUGUGACAGCCAACUCUGUGGAAGCUGGUCCUGUGGAGCAGCUGCCUUGUCGGUGCGGAAUCUGGACUUUAUGGGAUCGAUCACCAUCCCAGACCGAAAGCAAAAGCUGUGCUGCGCGUCUGCGCGACUUCAGUGUUGAGUAACCAGAUGCUGUUUUAUACCUUAAGAGAAAGUUCCCUUCAUCUGGAAGAGCAAACCUUAAAGGACCGGCAAUAUUUCCAACAAGAGUCACAAAACUCGAACCUGUUCCUCACUUCAUUUAGUCCACUGUUCCUAAUUCUUGUCCAGUUUGAAGGCAGCUUCUCACCCAUUUAAGUAUUCAUCUUGGAAAUGUCAAAUAUCUCUCUUUGUCCUAAAAAUCCUUUUGAUUAAUCUCCUUGAAGAUGAGUAUCAGAACCACAACUAUAAAUGACAAAAUGUCAGAAAUGGACAUGAUAUGAGAGUUCAUUAUGAUGCAGUUAGCAAGGUCAUCCAGUGUUCAAAGACACAUAAUACUUUGAUAGUCGGAGUACCAAAGGAAGACCCUAUACCAAAACAUUAAAAGUUUAGGAAUCACAUAUAUAUUUGAACAGUUCUAGCAUUUACCCAUGCAAUACCAUUAUUUGUUGGAAAGUGGUUCCAGAGUAACUUAAUAUGCCAGAAAAUGCCUAAUUGGUAAAAAAAAAAAAGACAUCAUUUAUGAUUUAAAUGCGGGAAAGUUUGCUAAAACCUCAGUAAGCUACAAAGCACAUCCUAAAUAGGAUUACAGAUCAUUACAAAUCGUCAAACUUUACAUUAUUUAUUUAACCAGGAUGGCAACAAGAGAUCCCAAAGGCAAACAUGUAAGGUUAUACAGUUGUUAGCAAAACUUAGCUCCUUUAACACU
Acinonyx jubatus (cheetah) is the source of this 3643-nucleotide long non-coding RNA. RefSeq lists it as uncharacterized. The transcript has 5 exons. The record is from RefSeq and is a predicted model, not a curated record. Lineage: Eukaryota; Metazoa; Chordata; Mammalia; Carnivora; Felidae.